Long non-coding RNA from Uloborus diversus, 809 nucleotides. RefSeq lists it as uncharacterized. The transcript is spliced from 3 exons. NCBI's taxonomy places the organism in Eukaryota, Metazoa, Arthropoda, Arachnida, Araneae, Uloboridae. The record is from RefSeq and is a predicted model, not a curated record.
GUCACUUCCGGGCUGCGGACAUUCUGUUUUAAAUGUUAUCUCUACGAAGAGGAAAGUGAGGUCUAUAUGUGUGGAAUUUGAAAAGGUUUAAUCCAUUUAUGCGGUUUAAAAAGCACUUAUUUCAAUACCAGAAAAACUAUCUUUGUACCAAACGCCACUUCUUUGAGGGUCAUGGAUCUGGACAAAUUCUGGAUUUUAGGGAAUUCGCCUUAGUUAUGAGCCCAGAUAGAGUGAUUUGUUUGCAUAGGCCCAAGUUCAGAUGCAAUGGGGGUCCAAAGUUGCUAAUUUGGUUCCAGAAACUCAAUGAUUUUCUUGAAUGAAAAUAGUGAAAUAGUUUAAAUAUCCCUACUGUUACCUUUUUUGGAAGAUUGGCAAAACUUUUCAGAUAAAAAUUUUAGGUACAGAUUCCGAAUUCUUAAAAUAUCUUUGGAAUCAGUAGCAUUCGUUAUUUGUUACAUUUACAAAACAGCUGAUUUUUAUCUGUAUCAUUCACAACAACUGCAUCACCAUGGUUUUAAAUUUCUAAAAUCUUAGUUCCAUACUAUGAUUUUUUUCUUCAAGUUACUUGAUAUGUAUGUAGUUAGAUUUAUUAACAGAAAAUAAACCUUGUCUUUUUUGUUUCCCAUAUUUCUACAAUUCUUAUCAUCAUAAUGUCUUAUGUAUAAAUUUCUGGUACUUCCUAUAAAUGUGAAUAUAUUCGUUCCUUUUACAGAUGGCAUUGUUAAAUGGUUUGAUUUGUCACACCUGAAUUCAGAAUAAUACGCAGCUACAUUUGAUGUAUUGCAGUUUCAUGGUUAUGAGGAGCCCUU